UCUUAAUAGAAGAUCGUUACGGUUUUCAUUCAUACAUGCCAUUGUAUGUGUAUUUGUUUGAUAGAACUACACAUAUUUAUAAGAACUGAUCGUUACAAAAUGUAUUGGCAAACAAGGUUAAAAUUUGUCUUUGGAAAAAUCGUCCCGACGUGGUCAGAAAGAGUUAUCCCCCUUGGCCGGCAUAGCGAUCGGUUUUCGAUCAAACAUUUAUCGAUACUGAGAUGGAGAACGUCAACGUGCCUGCUGACCCUGCACAUGACGCAUGGUAUCCAAGUGGGCUGUGUCCUGCCACAUUCAGGAAAUUUGAGGUGCAACCCUUGUAGGAAAUCAGUUUAAAAGUAGACCCAGUGAGAUGGGCUGGGCGGAAGGGAAAAUAAUAUGGUUCAAGGACUGUGAGACAGACAGGGAUGCAACUCUGCCCAGCAAAUUGAGGUGGCUUCUUGGAUGACUGUAUUACCUGUGCCUUCUAUGGCCUUAAACUUUCACAUACCUUAUGAAGUUUGUUUGUGUUUUCAAUAUCUUCUCUGAAAAUCAUAUUUUCAAUAAGCUGAGAUUUUGUGUAUUUGAUCCCACUAACAUGAUGCCAAUACAACUUCAAGCUGUCAAGACAUGGCAACCAUAUUGAACAUAUACUUUUCACCCUUUAGAAAGCCACUUCUGCAUUUACAUUAUGAAAUUUGAUAUACAGUAAUUAUUUGGUAAACCCAAACACAGUGUCAUAUUUUGCAAGUUUUUCUUAUAUUUGGAACUGCAACAUUUUGUCUUCAUGUGCUGCUGCAGCAGUCAUGAUGAAUGUGUUCUUUUGACUCGUUUCAUUACCAAUUAUUAUCCCCCACAACAUGUUUUGCGGGGGUAUUAAAAUGGACAUGGUCAGUCCUUGCAUUCAUACUUCUGUGUAAGAUUUUGAAAAAACGUUUACUAUUUUCUUCACCAAUCAUGGUACAUGGAUAGGCCUAGUGGUGACCUGGUGCCUGUUGAUAGUUUUGGAUUUUUGUAAAAUGUAUCUUUUUAGUUUCCAUGGCAACAACUUUGACUGAAAUAGGAGGGUAGUGAUCGUUCUUGGAACAUACCUUAAAAAUCUACAAUAUUUCUUCACCAAACUUGACACACAGAUCGGUCUAGUGGUGAACUGGUGCCUUUUAAUAGUUUAGGAUUUUUUUUAAAUUAAUAUUUUGAGAUGCCACAACUUUGACUCAUACUGAAAAUGAGGGUAGUGCUCCUUUCUAUGCAGAUUAAUUUUUUUUUACAAUAUUUCCUUAACAAGCAUGGCACAUAGAUAGGUCUAGUGUUGAACUGGUGCCUUUUGAUAAUUUGGGAUAUUUAGUUUCCAUAGCAAGUAUUUAAUAUUUAGGGGAUAAUGGUGAAUUUGUCUUCUUGCAUAUACUGUCAUCCUUUUAAUUGGUCAAGAUGCUGUGAGAAAGUCUGUUCUGUAGAUAAAUAGUUUUGUUUCUUUUGCUUAUUUAUUAUACCUUUGUAUUGCCUUUUUGUUGUAAUAAUAUAUUCCAUGAAAAAGUACAGGGAAGCUACAGAGCCAUUUUAACACCUAUACCCAGGGAAGUUUGUUCGAACAGUAUUUCUGUCAGUCAUGUGAGGGGACAGCCAAAAGGUAAUGAAGGGAAAAAUUAUUAUAUCAGAGCUACAGAUAAGCAGCGUAUUUGUGUAAAAUACCCCCCAAAAUUAUUUAAAACCCAAUUACUUUCCAUUAACUUGUGUACAGAAACGCAUGCAUUAAAUGAAAAACUCAAAUUAUUAAAACAGCUCGUGUAAAUGCCCAAUGAAGCUUUUUCAGCAUGCAUACAAAGGAGCUAAUUUCUGAAACACAAUUACAAGCUUAUUUACUUUCUCAGUCAAACCUAUGUAUUUAGAACAUUAUUUCAUUUUUUUGAAAUCUUAAAAUGUUCACUAAUUUUGGGAAAGACCCAAGAGAGUGAUGAAACGAUGAGUGAAAAAAUAUUGGUUACCCAAUGAAAAAUGUAAUAACCCAAUUAAAAUAGAAACCCUAAAGUAAAAACUGAAUUGCUCAAAAAGUUAUCUGGAGCUCUGUUACAUGAGUCAGUUUAAUGGCACCAAUACAAUGGGCACAUCUGGCCUCCAUUAGGUUGAAUCUGGUAAACUGUGUCUGUGAUUUUUUGGGGUGACGACAUUGCAGCCAUAUUGAAUGUUAUUUUGACCAGGUACUCAUGUAUCAUGGUGUUAUUCAUUUAACAGGCUCUGAUACUAUAUUUCAAUCUCCAAUGUGCUAUGUUUCAGUGAUCAUAUGUUCCAUUUGGUCAUGCCAUCAUCUUUCACCUUUUUGUGUCCUAAUAAUGGAAUGUACCAGUUUCACUGUCCAGUUACAAGAAGCCUGGUGCAAAUAACUUGUUUGGUCCAGUUGCACCCAACAAAGAUGCUGUCUACACCAAGUGUGACUGAUAGUCCUGUGUAAGCAAAAUUAGGCAUAUUGCUGAAUGUUGGGACCGGAUGUUGUGCUCUCUCAACCGGGCAACUACCAUGCUGUAAUGAAACUUGAUGGUAUCAGUUUACACCUACGCUAAACUACAUAUACAGCUCCCAAUACAGUGUGCUUUGAGAAGGGAGAGCAACUAUGCCCUGUACGUUUCUGGAAAGAAGAAGUGUUGAGAAGAAGAGUUCUGUGUUGAAGUCAGCAUUGACAUCCUGAGUAGUGAAAAGAUCAGCAGGGAGUAGCAUCAGUUCACUACUGUGUGGAGGGACAGUGUUUCUCCCUAUACUCAUGGACAGUACUGUACAUCUAAACAUAUGAUUCAUAUUAUAAAUUGUUUCAUUAUGUGAGGUGGGUUUUUUUCAUUCAUAAUAUCAAUUAUCAUAUACGGUGAAUUUAGCAUCUUACAAAUAUACUGUGCAUGGAAUUUCUUCACUUACACUGUUUUCAGCAUUUUGAGGCAAAACUCUUUUCAUGUGUUACAUUUAUGUUUAUUGUUUCCUCAACAAUAAAGAACUAGCAAAAUGA
Molecule: unclassified non-coding RNA, 2968 nt
Filed under: Haliotis rufescens (red abalone)
Lineage: Eukaryota; Metazoa; Mollusca; Gastropoda; Lepetellida; Haliotidae
Description: uncharacterized LOC124121399, transcript variant X3
Source: RNAcentral